RNAcentral lists this RNase P RNA (345 nucleotides) under Cupriavidus cauae. RNAcentral describes it as "Cupriavidus sp. MKL-01 RNase P RNA component class A". It matches the Rfam family "Bacterial RNase P class A". From Rfam's summary of the family: Ribonuclease P (RNase P) is a ubiquitous endoribonuclease, found in archaea, bacteria and eukarya as well as chloroplasts and mitochondria. Its best characterised activity is the generation of mature 5'-ends of tRNAs by cleaving the 5'-leader elements of precursor-tRNAs. Cellular RNase Ps are ribonucleoproteins. Lineage: Bacteria; Pseudomonadati; Pseudomonadota; Betaproteobacteria; Burkholderiales; Burkholderiaceae. The record is from RNAcentral.
GAAGCAGGACAGACAACCGCUGCUCGCCCGGCAACGGGCGAGGGGAGGAAAGUCCGGACUCCACAGGGCAGGGUGGUGGCUAACAGCCAUCCACGGCAACGUGCGGAAUAGGGCCACAGAGACGAGUCUUCGCGCCGGGUUUUGCCCGGUGCGAAGGGUGAAACGCGGUAACCUCCACCCGGAGCAAUCCCAAAUAGGCAGACGAUGAAGCGGCCCGCCGAGUCUGCGGGUAGGGAGCUGGAGCCGGCCGGUAACGGUCGGCCUAGAGGAAUGGUUGUCACGCGCGCGCGGAUCGCAAGGCCCGUGCGCCGCGCACAGAAUCCGGCUUAUCGGCCUGCUUCGCUU